AUGGAGGCUGAAAAUCGGCAGACAAGAGAAACUAUGGAAACUUUGCUCAACACAGAAAAUGGCUUUAUAAAGGAGCUGGAGAAAGUCUUGAACCAGCACGACGUCGCGCAGCAGAGGAGACUCGAGCUGCUUCACAAACAGUGGACUGAGCGUCUGUGGUUACCUCAUCAAAAACUGCUGAACCAACGCCUGUCCCGCUGUUGGACUAUAGACGUCAAGAGACGCCUGAGCUUAUACAACCACUUCCUGCAACACUGCAACAGGAAGGGAUAUGUGUUUCUAGACACCUACAACCUGAGGGAGUAUGAUCCCUUUUUCUGGUCCUUGACUGACAACUUCCAUCAGUUGGCAGAAAUGAAGGAUAGGCCUAAAGAAGCUUGGACACCAAAUUCCAUUGAAGACGAUUCAUCAGAGAGCAGCAGAGAAGGAGGCAGAUUACCUCAUCAUUUUCAGUCCUCCCUGGUUUCUAACAGCCCUGUGAUGCCCAGCGCACUACAGCAGGGGAUUACAACUCCUUAUGCCUCUUCCGCUUCUACAGAAACACAGAGCAAAGCUGUGAGGAUGCUUGGCAGGUUUGAUAAGGACCCAUGCCACAUUGAUACGAAGUACAGAGAUUGCCGUCGGUGUGACUGUAGGUUCUCCCCAAGAAGAGCUGAGUUUGAAUAAAAUGUGUAGCAGACUAGACAGUAAAUGUUUACAUGCAAAAAUGAAAUCUACCUCACCCAUUUACAGUUCACGCAGGUCACAUAACAGCAGAGUGGAAUGAGAAAGAAAGACGCUGGUGCCAUUUUCCAGCUUUAAUGGCAUAUACGUAUUUCUUUUAAAUGUACAGUAGUGUGCAACUGCGCAACAGUGUUUCACAAUCAGACAUUUCUAAAAACAUGUCAGAUUCAUAAAAAAAUUUAAAAAAGAGGUUGGACAAUGUGUAUUGGUUAUUGUAAUUAGGACAUAAAUGUAUCCGGAUAAAGAGAAAAUAAAAACUCUUCAAAACAUUAUGUUAAGGCACAUUGACAUGAUUAAAGGUGAAUUGGGCCUGGGCAGUCAUAUUGGCAUUUUGGAUUUGGCAGUAGAUGUUUGAAAAUAAAAGUGACUUAUAAAAAGUGUAAAUUCAGAGUGUGUUUGUGGUCUGUUCAUUUAGUGGGCUCGUAAAGCUGCAGGUCCAGUUUGACCGAGACUUCUCCGGUCGGGACCUCGUGCAGCAGAAGUCGACGGGUCGCAGCUCCUUUGCUCUCCAUUUCUUUCUUUAUUGUAGCUACCGGGACUUCGGUGCGACCCAGAAAAUCUGAAAGACAAGAGCAGUAAAAUGUUUUGUUCCAAAUUAAUACACACUAAAUAUCUAUAGAAAAUAAAGAUUCAAACCAUCUGGAGAGAACUGGUCUUUCUCGAACACAGUGAUACACAGGACGUCCUGAUACACGUCUUUGAUAAAGAACUGGCAGUUGAAGUUCCACUUUGGGUUGAGAGUGUCGCUCACGGGACGAGAGGUGUAGCACUGAGCCCCCAUGGUCAACUCGCAGUAUGGAUUACUCUUACCUGGAAUUAAAAUUACCAGUAAUAUUUAGAAAUUCUUUGAAUCAUAAUUACUUAUUUAAUUAAAAUGGAGCUCACCAUUUGGCUUACAGGCUUUGAGUUCUUGAGCUUCAGUGACCGUCACCAGCAGUCGCCCAAUACCACUGGAUUUAAGAGAACGAGCUAAAAACAACAUUGUGUAAGUGAGAAAAUGCAUAGAGUGAAAUUCAUUUACAAUGCAAUAUUUGUACCUUGAUAGGCCUUCUCUCGUUUUUUCUUCUCUGUCUCAAUAAAAUGCUCAGAAGCUGCUUUGAUUUUUGGACCCAAGCCGCCCUACAGUAAAUCAUCACUGUUACCAUGUGACUGAGUUCAUUAGUUAGCUUAAGGAAGCUUACCUCUCAUUUAGAGUCUCGGUCUUGAGUGUGUAGACCCGGUCAAUGUGGGAUACAUGAAAUACAGGCUCAUCACUGGAAGGAUCCGGAGGCAUUUUUACCAAAACUUCAUUCAAGAAUAAAGGCUGAAGCGGAACAAUAAAAAGUGAUGAGUACUUCAUAUUCACUCAAAAGGAGUCAAGCUUCACCCCAUUGUUACCGUUUUGUACAUCUUAAGUUGAAUGUUGGUUUUGGGGCUGAACAGCUUGUCUGUUCCUGAAGAUGAGAAUGGUUUGGCGCUGUGCGUGAGCAGGAGGAAGUCACUGAAGAGAAAAGCCCACAGCUCUCGGCUGCUCUUGGUUUUGUACAGACGCCCACUGUGCAGCAGCUUACGGGGCCCCAGGCAGUUCGUCAAAGAAUUGAACACCAAAUGCUGAGACGAGACAAGAGUAGCCACUUGUCAGUUGCAGUAAUAAAGGUGAAACUCGGAAAAUUAGAAUAUUGUUCAAAAGUUCAUUUAUUUCUGUAAUUCAACUUAAAAUGUGAAACUAAUAUAUGAUGGACUCAUUACAUUCAAAGUGACAUAUGUCAAGCUUUUAUUUGUUAUAAUUUUAAUGAUUAUGGCUUAUAGUCCAUUUUCAAAAUAUUCGGAGAUUUUUAAUUUGGGGUUUUUACAAGCUGUGAGCCAUAAUAAUCAGAAUUAUAACAAAUAAAGGCUAUACAUAUCUCACUUUGCAUGUAAUGAGUCCAUCAUAUAUUAGUUUCACAGUUUAAGUUGAAUUACAGAAAUGAAUUUUAUUCUAAUAU
Long non-coding RNA from Neogobius melanostomus (round goby), 2687 nucleotides. Lineage: Eukaryota; Metazoa; Chordata; Actinopteri; Gobiiformes; Gobiidae. The record is from Ensembl.